Molecule: ribosomal RNA, 405 nt
Filed under: uncultured bacterium
Lineage: Bacteria
Description: partial 16S ribosomal RNA
Rfam family: Bacterial small subunit ribosomal RNA
Source: RNAcentral
GACGAACGCUGGCGGCGUGCUUAACACAUGCAAGUCGAACGAGUGGCGAAAGGGUGAGUAACACGUGGGGUACCUGCCCUGCAAUUCAGGCUAAGCCUGGGAAACUGGGUCUAAUACAGGAUCGUGUGGGGUGGGCCCGCGGCCUAUCAGUUUGUUGGUGGGGUAAUGGCAACCAAGGCGCGACGGGUAGCCGGCCUGAGAGGGUGGGCGGCCAUACUGGAACUGAGACACGGUCCAGACUCCUACGGGAGGCAGCAGUGGGGAAUAUUGGACAAUGGGCGAAAGCCUGAUCCAGCCAUGCCGCGUGUGUGAAGAAGGUUUUCGGAUUGUAAAGCACUUUAAGUUGAGAGGCGUUACCAACAGAAUAAGCACCGGCUAACUUCGUGCCAGCAGCCGCGGUAAUAC